RNAcentral lists this small nuclear RNA (102 nucleotides) under Catagonus wagneri (Chacoan peccary). Lineage: Eukaryota; Metazoa; Chordata; Mammalia; Artiodactyla; Tayassuidae. The record is from RNAcentral.
GUGCUCACUUUGGCAGCACAUAUACUAAAAUUGGAAUGAUAAAGAGAAGAUUAGAAUGACCCCUGAACAAGGAUGCAAAUUCGUGAAGCCUUCCAUAUUUUU